AUACGGAGGGGGCAAGCGUUGUUCGGAAUUACUGGGCGUAAAGCGCGCGUAGGCGGUCUGUUUAGUCAGGCGUGAAAUCCCUGGGCUCAACCCGGGAACUGCGUUUAAAACUGGCGGACUAGAGUCCGGGAGAGGGUGGCGGAAUUCCCAGUGUAGAGGUGAAAUUCGUAGAUAUUGGGAAGAACACCAGUGGCGAAGGCGGCUCUCUGGCUCGGUUCUGACGCUGAGGUGCGAAAGCGUGGGGAGCAAACAGGAUUAGAAACCCGAGUAGUCC
RNAcentral lists this ribosomal RNA (274 nucleotides) under uncultured bacterium. Its description in RNAcentral is "partial 16S ribosomal RNA". It matches the Rfam family "Bacterial small subunit ribosomal RNA", at positions 523 to 796 of the family's 1533-position model. The record is from RNAcentral.